UUUCUGCAUAAUUUCUUUAUGGUAUGAGAGCUAGGGCAAUCAAUAUGUCCUCCUUCUGUUUUUAUUUUUUAAUCACCUUCUUCAACUUUCAUUGCUAUAAUUGUUUUGUCAUCUCUAGUUUUCUCAAAAAUUUAUCUAUUAUUUUCAAAAAAUCAUUACCAUGUCUUUCCUAUCUGAGUCUUUCAAAGCUAAUGCAUCUUUUGAGACUGCUACAGGAGUCCAUUCAAAUGAGCUCUGAAGUAUUCAAGCUGCCUAUCGCCUCAAUGGAAGGAAUUACAUGAUGUGGUCUCAAGUGGUUCGUAAUAAACUCAAGGGAAAAGGAAAACUCCAAUACUUGCUUGAACUGGCACCAGACAAGGACGAUCCCAAAUAUGAGGCAUGGGACGUUGAAGACUGUUUAAUCAUGUCAUGGCUUUGGGAUUCAAUGCAUCCAGAAGUAAGCGAAAAUUGCAUGUUCUUGACAACUGCAAAGGAGAUCUGUUAAACUAAAAGAUGCUGCCUUGGUCUUUGAAAUAAAGACUAAGAUUCAAUCAACCAAGCAAGGAAAUCUGUCUGUCACUGAAUAUUACAAUGCUUUGAACACCUUAUGGCUUGAACUUGAUUACAACCAUAACAUUAAGAUGAAGUGCAGUGACGAUGCCUCUUUAUUAUUUAAGUUCAUCGAAGGAGAAAGGAUCUAUGAGUUUUUGGCGGGAUUAAACAUGGAAUUUGAUCAAGAUCGAGUCCAAGUAUCGGGAAAAGAAGAACUACCACCUCUUAAUGAGGUCUUUGCUAUUAUUAGAGGAGAGGAAGGAAGGAGAUAAGUUAUGAUAGAGGCCCCGGCCCUCAAACAGGAAGGAUUUGCUCUAUUGUCCACCGUAGAGGCCUCUAAACCCGAAGGAUCUGCCUUAUUGUCUACAAAAAGGCCUGUGAACAGCCAAAAUUCUUACCAACUGAAGCAAAACAAUCGUGAUCGAUCAAGGAAUAACGACUUAUUUUGUAACUACUGCAAAAAGACAGGACACAAGAAAGAAGAUUGCUGGAAAUUGAAGGGAAAAACACAAUCAGACAGAAACUACAAUGGGAACUACAAUGGCAACAACUCUCAGCAAUUUCUGUGAAUCAAAAGCUAUGGAAUAGGCAAGGAAAUGUAGCUAUUACAAGGGAAAUAUUAGACCAGCAAGAAUUGCAUAUGUUCAACAAGGAGGAGGUUGAAAAAAUUCAAAGUCUACUCUGUACAAUAGACAAGCCAACUGGUUCAUAUUCCUUGCAAAUGCAGGUAUCUAUUCUGUCCAAGCUCUCUCUGCCUCAUUAAACAGCAAUCAUAGCAAAGCAUGGGUGAUAGAUUCAGGAGCCACGGAUCACAUGACCAACUCACCGUCUCAGUUUUCUUCACACACUCCGUGUUCUGGACAUUAGAAAUUUCGGGUGGCAGAUGGAACUAUAGCUUCUAUAGCAGGAACAUGAACUAUUUCAAUCCCUCAAUCUAUUACUCUUAAAUCUGUACUCCAUGUGCCUAUAUUGUCCAUGAACCUAUUAUCUAUUCCAAAGUUAACUAAAGAUUUCAAUUGCAAAGUGGUUUUCUCAUCUGACAAGUGCACUUUUCAGGAUCCAACUAUGGGGAAGAUGAUUGGGCUUGCUAAGGAGAAGGACAGGCUGUACUACUU
This 1646-nucleotide long non-coding RNA is filed under the name Olea europaea subsp. europaea. The record is from RNAcentral. Lineage: Eukaryota; Viridiplantae; Streptophyta; Magnoliopsida; Lamiales; Oleaceae.